RNAcentral lists this ribosomal RNA (254 nucleotides) under uncultured bacterium. RNAcentral describes it as "partial 16S ribosomal RNA". It matches the Rfam family "Bacterial small subunit ribosomal RNA", at positions 524 to 776 of the family's 1533-position model. The record is from RNAcentral.
UACGUAGGGUGCAAGCGUUGUCCGGAAUUAUUGGGCGUAAAGAGCUCGUAGGCGGUCUGUCGCGUCGGAUGUGAAAACCCAGGGCUCAACCCUGGGCCUGCAUUCGAUACGGGCAGACUAGAGUUCGGUAGGGGAGACUGGAAUUCCUGGUGUAGCGGUGAAAUGCGUAGAGAUCGGGAGGAAUACCGGUGGCGAAAGCGACUCUCUGGACGGCAACUGACGCUGAGGCACGAAAGCGUUGGGGAGCAAACGGG